This 465-nucleotide ribosomal RNA is filed under the name Vreelandella stevensii. RNAcentral's name for it is "partial 16S ribosomal RNA". It matches the Rfam family "Bacterial small subunit ribosomal RNA", at positions 338 to 795 of the family's 1533-position model. The record is from RNAcentral. Lineage: Bacteria; Pseudomonadati; Pseudomonadota; Gammaproteobacteria; Oceanospirillales; Halomonadaceae.
CCAACGGGUGGCAGCAGUGGGGAAUAUUGGACAAUGGGGGGAACCCUGAUCCAGCCAUGCCGCGUGUGUGAAGAAGGCCCUCGGGUUGUAAAGCACUUUCAGUGAGGAAGAACGCCUGGUGGUUAAUACCCAUCAGGAAAGACAUCACUCACAGAAGAAGCACCGGCUAACUCCGUGCCAGCAGCCGCGGUAAUACGGAGGGUGCGAGCGUUAAUCGGAAUUACUGGGCGUAAAGCGCGCGUAGGUGGCUUGAUAAGCCGGUUGUGAAAGCCCCGGGCUCAACCUGGGAACGGCAUCCGGAACUGUCAAGCUAGAGUGCAGGAGAGGAAGGUAGAAUUCCCGGUGUAGCGGUGAAAUGCGUAGAGAUCGGGAGGAAUACCAGUGGCGAAGGCGGCCUUCUGGACUGACACUGACACUGAGGUGCGAAAGCGUGGGUAGCAAACAGGAUUAGAUACCCUGGUAGUC